Molecule: ribosomal RNA, 384 nt
Filed under: uncultured bacterium
Lineage: Bacteria
Description: bacterial SSU rRNA
Rfam family: Bacterial small subunit ribosomal RNA
Source: RNAcentral
AGAGUUUGAUCCUGGCUCAGAUUGAACGCUGGCGGCGUGCCUAACACAUGCAAGUCGAGCGGUAACAGGUGUAGCAAUACAUGCUGACGAGCGGCGAACGGGUGAGUAAUGCUUUGGAAUCUCCCCAGUAGUGGGGAAUAACCAGUCGAAAGAUUGGCUAAUACCGCAUACGUCUGUAAAGGGAAAGCGGGGGCUCGUAAGACCUCGCGCUAUUGGAUGAGCCAAAGUCGGAUUAGCUAGUUGGUGGGGUAAUGGCCUACCAAGGCGACAAUCCGUAGCUGGUCUGAGAGGACGACCAGCCACACCGGAACUGAGACACGGUCCGGACUCCUACGGGAGGCAGCAGUGGGGAAUAUUGGACAAUGGGGGAAACCCUGAUCCAGC